AAAGGAGACUCAGUAGACUCAGCAAAAUAACAGACAAACAGGCUGCUAUCACAGAAAAAACAAGACAUUGUCUAGGCAUUUCUGAUGUACAGAGUUUGAUCUCUCCGUAAAGCUCCGGACACAAGCUAUUCACUGAGAUAUGUCACACAGCUGACAAAUGCAUUUUUCUAUGUGUUUAAUGAUACUGUGAAGAACGCACUCCAUUUCGAAAUCUGAUCUGAGAGUCAUAAAUCAUGCAGAUUAAGUCGUGAGGCCAAACAAAGGGAAAGCUUUCCCGCCAACUUUGCACCCAUGUUAUUGGCCACCCCACCUCAAGGAGGUGUGUCGGCUUAUCUGUCAUAAAAGCAAAGACGCACAAUUUCUGUGUGUUCUCUCCCGAUUGUCUCACGAGCAUCUCGUGCACAUUUUUCCCGGACAUCUCUGGUGACCGCGCGCUGCCAUCGCGCUCAGCUUCGGGACCGCCAUCUUCCAGCAAAACUCACUCUCAAGUCCUCAGUUCGAACCUUCCCGCGGAACGGAGGAAGCCAACGAACUGCACCAGCGCUAACCUGAAA
This is a long non-coding RNA of Megalobrama amblycephala (Wuchang bream), 554 nucleotides long. RefSeq lists it as uncharacterized. NCBI's taxonomy places the organism in Eukaryota, Metazoa, Chordata, Actinopteri, Cypriniformes, Xenocyprididae. The transcript is spliced from 3 exons. The record is from RefSeq and is a predicted model, not a curated record.